This 609-nucleotide ribosomal RNA is filed under the name fungal endophyte. RNAcentral's name for it is "eukaryotic LSU rRNA". The stretch from base 110 to 609 matches the Rfam family "Eukaryotic large subunit ribosomal RNA", at positions 1 to 503 of the family's 3401-position model. The record is from RNAcentral. Lineage: Eukaryota; Fungi.
AGGGCCUGCCUCAAAGUCAGUGGCGGCACCGUCUGACCCUAAGCGUAGUACUACUCGCCGCUUCUGGAAUCGGUCGGCUGCCUGCCAGCCUAACCCCCACCAUCAAGGUUGACCUCGGAUCAGGUAGGGAUACCCGCUGAACUUAAGCAUAUCAAUAAGCGGAGGAAAAGAAACCAACAGGGAUUGCCUCAGUAACGGCGAGUGAAGCGGCAACAGCUCAAAUUUGAAAGCUGGCUCCUUUGGGGGCCCGCGUUGUAAUUUGUAGAGGAUGCUUCGGGUGCGGCGCCGGUCUAAGUUCUUUGGAACAAGACGUCAUAGAGGGUGAGAAUCCCGUAUGUGACUGGUUGCCUGUGCCCGUGUGAAGCUCCUUCGACGAGUCGAGUUGUUUGGGAAUGCAGCUCUAAAUGGGUGGUAAAUUUCAUCUAAAGCUAAAUAUUGGCCAGAGACCGAUAGCGCACAAGUAGAGUGAUCGAAAGAUGAAAAGCACUUUGGAAAGAGAGUUAAACAGUACGUGAAAUUGUUGAAAGGGAAGCGCUUGCAAUCAGACUUGCGCGGCGUCGAUCAGCCUGGGUUCUCCCUGGUGCACUCGGCGCCGCUCAGGCCAGCAUC